Molecule: ribosomal RNA, 523 nt
Filed under: uncultured bacterium
Lineage: Bacteria
Description: bacterial SSU rRNA
Rfam family: Bacterial small subunit ribosomal RNA
Source: RNAcentral
AAUAGAUACCCCGGUAGUCCACGCCGUAAACGAUGAGUGCUAAGUGUUAGAGGGUUUCCGCCCUUUAGUGCUGCAGCUAACGCAUUAAGCACUCCGCCUGGGGAGUACGGCCGCAAGGCUGAAACUCAAAGGAAUUGACGGGGGCCCGCACAAGCGGUGGAGCAUGUGGUUUAAUUCGAAGCAACGCGAAGAACCUUACCAGGUCUUGACAUCCUCUGCCAACCCUAGAGAUAGGGCGUUCCCCUUCGGGGGGACAGAGUGACAGGUGGUGCAUGGUUGUCGUCAGCUCGUGUCGUGAGAUGUUGGGUUAAGUCCCGCAACGAGCGCAACCCUUGAUCUUAGUUGCCAGCAUUUAGUUGGGCACUCUAAGGUGACUGCCGGUGACAAACCGGAGGAAGGUGGGGAUGACGUCAAAUCAUCAUGCCCCUUAUGACCUGGGCUACACACGUGCUACAAUGGAUGGUACAAAGAGCUGCGAACCCGCGAGGGUAAGCGAAUCUCAUAAAGCCAUUCUCAGUUCGGA